This 460-nucleotide ribosomal RNA is filed under the name uncultured bacterium. RNAcentral's name for it is "partial 16S ribosomal RNA". It matches the Rfam family "Bacterial small subunit ribosomal RNA", at positions 338 to 795 of the family's 1533-position model. The record is from RNAcentral.
CCUACGGGCGGCAGCAGUGAGGAAUAUUGGUCAAUGGGCGCGAGCCUGAACCAGCCAAGUAGCGUGAAGGAUGACUGCCCUACGGGUUGUAAACUUCUUUUAUAAAGGAGUAACGUGAGGCACGUGUGCCUUUUUGUAUGUACUUUAUGAAUAAGGAUCGGCUAACCCCUUGCCAGCCGCCGCGGUAAUACGGAGGAUCCGGGCGUUAUCCGGAUUUAAUGGGGUUAAAGGGUGCGUAGGUGGUUAAUUAAGUCAGGGGUGAAAGUUUGUGGCUCAACCAUAAAAUUGCCGUUGAAACUGGUUGACUUGAGUAUAUGUGAGGUAGGCGGAAUGCGUGGUGUAGCGGUGAAAUGCAUAGAUAUCACGCAGAACUCCGAUUGCGAAGGCAGCUUACUAAACUAUAACUGACACUGAAGCUCGAAAGCGUGGGUAGCAAACAGGAUUAGAUACCCGAGUAGUC